GGAGUGGACAGCGGCGCAAUGGUGAGUAACGCGUGAGUAAUCUUCCCUAAAGUUUGGAAUAGCCCGAGGAGGGUCGGAUUAAUACCAGAUACGGCUUUUCAUCGCCUGGUGAAUUUGCCAAAGAUUUAUUGCUUUUGGAUGUACUCGCGUACCAUCAGCUUGUUGGUAAGGUAACGGCUUACCAAUGCGACGACGGAUAGCUGGUCUGAGAGGAUGAUCAGCCACACUGGGACUGAGACACUGCCCAGACUCCUACGGGAGGCUGCAGUCGAGAAUCUUCCGCAAUGGACGCAAGUCUGACGGAGCGAUGCUGCGUGCCGGAUGAAGGUCUUCGGAUCGUAAACGGCUGUCACUCGGGACGAAUUUUGACGGUACCGAGAGAGGAAGCCACGGCUAACUACGUGCCAGCAGCCGCGGUAAUACGUAUGUGGCGAGCGUUAUUCGGCUUUAUUGGGCGUAAAGGGUCCGUAGGGGGUUGUGCAUGUCUGAUGUGAAAUCCCACGGCUCAACCGUGGAACUGCAUUGGAAACUGCAUGACUAGAGUAUCGGAGAGGUAAGUGGAAUUCCUGGUGUAGCGGUGGAAUGCGUAGAUAUCAGGAGGAACACCGACGGCGAAGGCAGCUUACUGGACGAUAACUGACCCUGAGGGACGAAAGCUAAGGUAGCAAACAGGAUUAGAUACCCUGGUAGUCUUAGCUGUAAACGUUGUGCACUAGGUGUAGGCGG
This 726-nucleotide ribosomal RNA is filed under the name uncultured organism. Its description in RNAcentral is "bacterial SSU rRNA". It matches the Rfam family "Bacterial small subunit ribosomal RNA", at positions 85 to 829 of the family's 1533-position model. The record is from RNAcentral.